Glycine soja is the source of this 86-nucleotide non-coding RNA. NCBI's taxonomy places the organism in Eukaryota, Viridiplantae, Streptophyta, Magnoliopsida, Fabales, Fabaceae. The record is from Rfam.
AGGCCAAUGAGGAUUAUUUGAAUUGGAAUUACAGUCUGAACAAAUUUACAUUUGAUGUGAAUUUCUGACUGGCUCUGAGGCUUCGU